RNAcentral lists this ribosomal RNA (238 nucleotides) under uncultured bacterium. RNAcentral describes it as "partial 16S ribosomal RNA". It matches the Rfam family "Bacterial small subunit ribosomal RNA", at positions 15 to 236 of the family's 1533-position model. The record is from RNAcentral.
GAUCCUGGCUCAGGACGAACGCUGGCGGCGUGCUUAACACAUGCAAGUCGAACGAGAAUCUGCUGAAGGAGGAUUCGUCCAACGGAAGUAGGGGAAAGUGGCGGACGGGUGAGUAACGCGUGAGGAACCUGCCUUGAAGAGGGGGACAACAGUUGGAAACGACUGCUAAUACCGCAUGAAGCAUAGGGGUCGCAUGAUCUUUAUGCCAAAGAUUUAUCGCUUCAAGAUGGCCUCGCGU